RNA transcript from Otolemur garnettii (small-eared galago), 8608 nucleotides. It is a transcript of the gene named solute carrier family 19 member 1, with no coding region annotated. The transcript has 7 exons. Lineage: Eukaryota; Metazoa; Chordata; Mammalia; Primates; Galagidae. The record is from RefSeq and is a predicted model, not a curated record.
GGAGUGGCUGGGAGUUUCCGAGUUGAAUACAGGGAGCCAGCGGAGGUGAGUGUGGGGGACGCAGGACAGUCUGCUGUGUGCCUGGGGGACUAUGGGGUGGGUGCGGGGACCCAGCGGGGUCUGCAGGGCCCUGAGAUAGGCGCCGCGGACGCGGGCUGAGGUCUUAAGGAGUGUAUCGGAGACCCUGGGGUGAGUGUGGGGUACGCAGGCCGGGGUCUGCGGGGCCCUGGGAUGAGUGCUGGGGACGCGGCCGGGGUCUUACCGGCUGGAUGCGAUGCACGCAGGCGGGGCACCGUGGGCGCACCGUGCCAGAACCGCUGUUGUGCCACAGGCUUCCUUCCGCUUACUUCUCGCCCUAGGCGGCUAAGUGGGGGCUGUGAGCCGCACCUACCCCCUCACUCCCCAUCGGCCGGUUUGCCGAGUUCCUCCCCCAGGGCGUUCCAGCUCAGACAUGCUGCUCAGGUGGAGCCACCGUUAUUAAGCACGUGCAGGAGAGCCCGGGCAACCCACGCGUUGGGCAGGCCCGGCGGGCCUGUAUAGAUGCAGAUGCAGGUGUAACUUCCCUUUGGAGCAGCUCUCGGCACCAUCCCAAAAAAAGGACGGGCGUCUUCUCAACGCCUGGACAGUGGGCCUGGGAGACUUAAUCCUGCGUGUGUUCCUCCAGGGAGAAAUACACCUCUGUGGGGCCAGUUCCCAUCGCCUAUCUGAAAGCUUGCUUGGAGAUCUCAGGACAGAGGUUGAAGUCUAAGUCAGCCUUAAAUACAGUAUGCUCCCAAAGCGAAGGUGGAGUAAAGUCUUUGGAACUGCCUGCUGGGCGGCCCUCUAAAGGGGUGAUCUCCCCUCAAGGAGACUUGAGGAUUCCAACAGCUUAGGUGGAAUCAGCAGGACUGAGGACCCUCUGGCCUGGUGGGACUGCCUACCCUUCCCAGGCCUGGUAGCGAUGAAUGUGCCCUGCUAAUUGCAAUCGCUAAUUCUUUUCUUUCAGAGGGGACUUUGGUGGAUUUUUAUAAUUCCCGAUAUUACAGUUUUCUGUGCUGGACAAGGUAAGAAACAGUAUUUCUUGAGGUGUUUUAAGCCUGUGGUUUGGGCCUGCAGCAGUGGUAGCCGGAGGACUUGUAGUCCCAGAACACUGGACCUAGUCAUCCGACCUGGGGGAAAUGCAACAAUUUUUUUCUUUGUUUACUAGCAGCUGUUCUGAAAAUAUAAUGAACUUUCCUGGUUAGCCUUCAAGUAGCUGGUUUAAAACACAAAGUGAUAUGUGGUGCUUGAUUUUGUUUUGAUCUUACAAGCGCCAGCCUUCCUGGAUGCUGGGGGUAUAGGACUGGGACUCCACAUCUCCCAGGGCAGGUGCUAGAGGCUGGUCAGAGGCAAAGGAGGGGGGACCAGGACUGGGGGGUGUUUGUGCUAGGACCUUCUCCUGAAGGCAGCUGGGUCCUCAGUCCUCCACCUUUGAUCCUUCUGGCUGGCCAGGGCUGUUCUUCAGCUGCCUGGAAGAGGCCUGAAGUUGUACAGGGCUGGGCUGGAGUCAGCACACUUGGGGUGGGCUUCCCCUGAGUUUCCAGGCUCCGUUUCCUGUGCACAUGUGACGUUGUUCCCCAUCUUUUCCUCUGUAAGUCUAGUGGCAACCAGAGGACUUUGAGUCUCAGCUGUACUGACCAGUCGUCAUGUGACCAUAUUCACUGAUGGUUUACAUCAAAUCAGCAGAGCAGACAGACUUCAGACGGGACCCCUUGACUGGCUGAGGUCAUGGCUAUCUUUGAUCUUCAGCCUCCUCACAGGUGGUGGCCAGGCAGGCCUGCUUGCUUUUCCUCCUGCAGAAUACAGAGUACACAGGGUUGGAGGCCCCCUGCUCUGCAUAGGGAUUGCAGACUGCUGUGCUAGUCAACAUUUUUUCCAUUAGUGGCCAACAUUAAACUGGCUUUUCCCAUAAGACCCUGGAAUUUUGUCCCCUAUUCCUGCUGAGGGCCAUUGUUCCUGGGACGGUGAGUUCUUAUCUCGCCUCCCCUGCUCACCUGCUAUUGUCUGGCCCUGUAGGCUCUGAAUUGGCAGCCCCAGAUCUCUUUGAGGUAUUACCAGUGUGUAUCCCAUUGUGCUGUGAGAGUGUGGGCACACACAGAGUACAGCACAUUCCAGAGUGGAGACAGGCCUCCUGUCCCCAGGCGGUCUGCUUAGUUCAGAUCCAGACUCCACAGGAUAGCACUGAAAGUGAGCCCCUCCCAAGCUUCUUGCCCCUAUGUGGCCCUGGUACCCUGCAGGUGUGACUGUUAUCAGGAAGGACUGUAGGACUGUGUCCCCACCUGGGGGGGGGGCAGGGCCUUGUACAGAUGAGAGGACAAGUUUUUAGAGUAACACUCUGGAGGAAUAUGGAUAGCAGAGCUUCUGGCACCAUCUUUGCUUCUCCCAUGGUUGCUAUAUCUGCCUCCCCCCGCACUGGGACAUGAGAAUAAAGGGCCUCUUGGGACAGGAAGGCUGCCUUUGUCUUGAGUGAGUGUCUCUUGGCUUAUGUCCUAGGAAAGCAUGUCCCUCAUCUCCUUCACUGAGCAGGGAAGGAGCUCAAGUUCUCUUCACAUGGACCCGGUGGUCCCCUGGGCCUGUGACUGCUAAACAUUCCUGUAGGGACCCUGGGUGUCUUUGCUGAGCAAGUGUGUGUGGUAUAGAGUGGAGGGUGGAGGGCACUGCCCAGCAGGGUCCCAGAGGGGGGAGGAUGCCCCAUGGGUUCAGUGUCUGCUUUCUGGAGAUAAGCCUGGUUACUCAGCUACUUAGCGACUGCAUGAUCCAAGAACAAAGGGAACCUAGGGCACUGCUGGCUUCCUGAGCCUCCACCUGGUCAGUUGCUGCUCAGCUUCCCCAAGUGGUGGCGGUGGUGGGAUGGCUGUGAGGUUGGAAGCUUGGUGGGGGGCCCCGGGCUGGCCGGGUGGGGGAAGGAGGCUUUCUCUGGCGGUAGGUCUAGGGACCCUAUCAAACAGGCCUGACCUGGUUGGCCUGGCCCCUCUGCUGUCCAGGCUGACUGCAGUGUUUUGGGGGCUCCCUGACCAACAUCUGGGGAGCGAGGCUCCUCCUUUGUGUCAUAACCCUGGAGAACAAGCUGGGCUGUUCACUCCCUGGGCCCUUUAGCACUUGGCCUGUGGGAGUUGCCGGGGAGUGCUGGGGCCCAUCUGAGUAUGGGCAAAGGUGGGCUGCUGUGCUGGCUCUGGUCAGACUGGCUGUUCUUGUGGAGCUCAGCACUGGAUCCUGAGAGUGCUUUUCCAUGUGUGGUGGGUCACCUGCUCUGGCUUAUCUGGUGGACAAAUUAAAGGGCAGAGUCCUGGUGGGUCUGCCCCAUGCCUGCAGACACAGGGCAGGUUCCUAAGGAGCUCUCCUUGAUGUUUGAGAGACUCCACUCUGGGGUUUUGGCAGCUUUGGGAGUGAGUGAGGAUGUAGAAAUGAGUGCUACGUGCUGGGGCUGAGAACUGCCAGUGACAAGUAAAGGGCAUUCCUGCUGCCUCUGGGGGUGGCGCCUUGUGCACCUGUACAGCCGUGGCCACAGUGAUUUAGUUGGGGUGAGGAACAGCUGUUCUGGGUAUCCAGGACUGGGAGAGUGGACCUGAGAUGGGUCUCCUGGGGGUGUGUGUGAGGUGUAGUUCAGCUCUGCAUGUGGCCCUCUGGGUGUCAAGGUGACUGUUGAAGAGGCUGAGCCCUCCUGGCUCUAAGCUCCUCCCUGCUGCCCCAGCUCCUGGGGAGAGGGGGUCCAGAGCCCUGGGGGUCUAUCCUGGCUGAGGCAGGAGCCCCUGCCUGUAGCUGUUUUCCUCUUGGCCUUAUGAAGACUUCAGAGUCACUGCUGCCCUUUGUGCUGGGCACAGUCCCAUCAUCUACCCUUGGAACUCUCUGGAAUUCUUAUGGCUGGGAUCCCAGAGGCCAGCUCUAUAUAGGGGGAGAGACCAUCCUCCCUUUCCUGUAGCCCCACAAGCCCAUGGGACCCUGCUUCUUUUGGGUGUCACUGUUUGUACCCUGCCCACUGCCCCUUGUCACAGAAGUGAGUGCGGAGGGAUUUGGAAGCCGGAUCCCGUGACUACUGCCUGUGCCCAGGGGUCUGCCUGUGUAGCUGGGAAGAGGCUCUCUGCACCCCAUGUGGAUCCCUGCUGGCCACCUUGCUUGUAAGACUGUGUCAGUGGUGGGUUUCAGGAGCACUUUCAGCCUGUGUGGAGUUCAAGCCCACAGGGCUUAGUGCUGGAAUUUGGGGUGACUGUCCCUGGGGACUCCUGGAUCCCCAUGCUGGUCCCACGUUUAGGGAGCUCUCUGUGCCCCCUGCUUGAGGGUAGGAGGGGAUUCUCCCUAUACAGACACCUGGCCACGUAUCAGUCCAGGGCAGAGGGAAUGAUGAUCACAGCUUAGCCAGCCCCACCCGCCUCCACUAGCUAUUCAGGCUGCCCUCUGUACCUCACAUGCCCUUCCACAUGGACCCUGUCAGGCCUGGCCUGGGAGUGAUGGUCAGCGUGACAAAGGCCAGUGGGGCAGGUCAGCUUGGCGUGGUGCCUCGUGCACCUGACCUCCUUGGUGGCCGCUUGCUUUCUGAUUGCCUGGAACACCUCAAGUGGACCAGCAGCGUCACUGGCCUGUGGAGACAGACGUGUGUGUACAGCAAGCUGCAGGUGACCUCGGUGUGGAUGCGGGCUUCUGCCCCACUGCUGCUCCUUUGCUGGGAAGGGCCAUUAGUGGUCCUGGCUGUGCUCUUGGGGGCAACAGAGGCUUUCUCCCUGGCAGAAUCAGGAUGGUGGAAGGGGCUGCAGAAGAGGUUCUCCACACCCAGGCUGCUGCUGUGUCAUGCAACGUGCCCUGGCCUGGGUGGGGUGGGGUCAGCCUCAGGGACACCGGCUGGUCACCCCGAGGUCUGGCUCAUGAUGCCUCCUGAAGGCAGGCCUGUUAUCUGAGGUGCUCUGUCAGGAAUGUGUCACAUCUGCCUCACUGCUUCCACCGCUGCUGUUUCUCUUUAGGGGAACUUGCUCCUGGGGACUCCAGGACCCUAGGCUCAAAGUCUGGGUCAUCAUCUUCUCGGUUGUUUCUCUUCCCAGCUGCCCUCAGCCCCUAAUCCCCACGGUGGGCUUCCCCUGCACGGCAGGGAGCUGAGUCUCCUGCUUCUGUGCAGGACUGGAUACCAGAGUCUCAUGGGACCUCACUCCCCAGUGGGUCUCUGACUGGUAGCUUAUGUCCAGCCACCUGUCGCUGGUUGCUGGCCCCAGGGUGUGGCCAAGUGUGUGCCUGACCUCCCAGAAAGACCUGUUCCUGCCUGUGCCCUCCUAGGCCACCGCAGUGCCACAGAGAAGCAGUACAAUGUGGGCCGCACAGGGCUGUGCGGAGAGGACUGUGUCCAGCCCCACAGACGUAGCUCAUGCUUCUGUGCGAUGAGGUGGAGCAUCACCUUCAUUCCCUCUAGUGUCUCAAAUGGGCCGGGGCAGCAUGAUGCCUUCCAGCCCUGAGGGAGAGAAGCAGGUGCCCACAGAGCCUAAGCUGGACUGUGAGCCCCAGCCAUGGCGGUGCCUGGUGUUCUACCUGUGCUUCUAUGGCUUCAUGGCGCAGAUGCGGCCCGGGGAGAGCUUCAUCACACCCUACCUGCUGAGGGACAAGAACUUCACACAGGAGCAGGUCACCAACGAGAUCACACCGGUGCUGUCCUACUCGUACAUGCUGGUGCUGGUGCCCAUCUUCCUGCUGACCGACUACCUGCGCUACAAGCCAGUGCUGCUGCUGCAGGGUCUCAGCUACACGUCCGUGUGGCUGCUGCUGCUGUUCGGUGGCUCUGUGCAGCACAUGCAGCUCAUGGAGUUCUUCUACAGCGUCACCAUGGCCGCACGGGUCGCCUACUCCUCCUACAUCUUCUCUCUCGUGCACCCUGCGCGCUACCAGCGCAUGGCUGGCUACUCACGCGCUGCCGUGCUGCUGGGCGUCUUCACCAGCUCAGUGCUGGGCCAGCUGCUGGUCUCCACGGGCAGGGUCUCCUUCAGGACCCUCAACUACAUCUCGUUGGCCUUCCUCAUCUUCAGCCUGCUGCUCGCCUCCUUCCUCAAGCGCCCCAAGCGGAGCCUCUUCUUCAACCGCAGCAGCACUCCCCUGCGUGGGGCUGUGCCCUCAGAGCUACAGCCUGUGCGGCCCGGCCCCGCCCCGCGCGGGAAGCUGCUGGCCGCUUGCAGGGACUGCAUCCUGGUGCGCAUGCUGCAUGAGCUGGGGGCCAGCCUGCGGCUGCCACAGCUGCGCCUCUGGUCACUCUGGUGGGUCCUCAACUCAGCCGGCUACUACCUGGUUGUCUACUAUGUGCACAUCCUGUGGAACACCCUGUGCCCCACCACCGACAGUGCUCAGGUCUACAACGGUGCCGCCGAUGCUGCCUCCACGCUGCUGGGUGCCAUGACAUCUUUCGCUGCUGGCUUCGUAAAGAUCCGCUGGGCGCUGUGGUCCAAGCUGGUCAUUGCCUGUGUCACCGCGGCUCAGGCCGGCCUCAUCUUCCUGCUGUACAAUGUGGUCAGCAUCUGGCCCUGCUAUGGGGCCUUCGUGCUCUUCCGUGGCUUCUACCAGUUCCUUGUGCCCAUUGCCACUUUUCAGAUUGCAUCCUCCCUGUCAAAAGAGCUCUGUGCCCUGGUUUUUGGCAUCAACACAUUCUUCGCCACCAUUCUCAAGACCAUCAUCACCCUCAUCGUCUCAGACAAGAGGGGCCUGGGCCUUCCAGUCUGGUCACAGUUCCGGAUCUACUUUGUGUACUUCCUGGUCCUGUCCAUCUUCUACUUCUUGGGGGCCAUGCUCGAUGGUUGGCGGCACUUUCAGCGAAGCCACCACCGGCCCCUGCCACUGGCCCAAGAACUGAGGAGCCCCUUGGAGGAGAAGGCUGAGCAGACGCCUAGCAUGCAGGACACGUGCCCUCCACUGUACCCAGAGGGCAGCGCCUGGGGCCUUGGGCUGGCCUCCCAGGAGCAGAGCCAGCCUGCCCCAGCUCCACCUGCACUCCUACCCCAGCCCAGCCGUCACCUGGAUUCCUGACAUCUGAGGAAGUCCUUUGCUACGUGCUCCCUGUGCUAAUCAAGCCUGACUUCACAGACGUGUUUAGAAUGUGAACUAGUGACUCAUGGAGCCCCUGUGCCUUUGUGGGUGACCCUCUGUGUCCCCCUAACCUACGCCUUGUCAGUGAGGGGCCCUGGCCUCAGCUUGCCCUGCUGGUGACCCUGAGAGCCCCUUCCCCAGCCCUGCUUCACACCCCAGUGGAGGCUGGGGCCUGUUGGGGACCUUCUGAGCAGCUGCCUGGCUGUGCUGCCCCCACUGGGCCUCUAUUGCCAAGCGGAGGCUGAUAAGGGAUCUCUGGGGUACACCAGGCUUUCCUGCAUUCACCCCCAGGGAUGAAGCAAACCCUUCUGUCCAUGGGGACUGAUGAGGUGGUCCUUGGUGCCAGCCAAGGGGAUACCAGCUCCACAAGUCAUGGACCCUCAGGACAGGGCUGGGAGCCUGAAUUCCCCAGGCCUGUGGAUCAACUGUGACAUAGCUCCAGAUACAUUAAACAGACCUCGAGAACGGAAUGUGACACAGCUCUUAAUUCCAGACCAGCCUGACCUGUUGGGUGGAGGCCACCAUCAGUGAGGAGGCCUGGAAGGGGCCCAGCCAUCCCCCUUGCCCUCCUCAUCAAGGACCUAUACCAAGGCCCUGGUGCCUGUGAGCCAAACAUCCUCUCUCUCUACCCUGUCCCUUGGGGCCCUCUGGUAAGCGUCCACACUUAGUGUGUCCCAAUGGACAGCAGCUGCUCAGAGCCAGCCUGCUGAAAAAAGCUAGGGAUGGAAUUUCUGGCUCAGAGGCAGCUGGAGCUGCCAGUGCCCAAGAAUCCCCCAGGUCGGCUUGGUGAGAAGGCUUCUAGGGCACCCUGGGUUGAGAGUCCAGGGGAAAGACAACCUAAGUCCAGAUGGGCAGUGGUCCUGAGGUCUAGUCCCACCAGGGCACAAUCAGUAGAGCUGGGGCCCAAGGGUGCAGGAAUGAGUAUAGCCACCACCUUGCCUCAUGCUGACCACCACACACCGUGAGCCCUAUGGCCGAUCCCACAGCACAGUCCUGGCAACCUCACCCAGGCCAGUCCCUCUUGUCAGAAUCUAGUCCUGCCCCAGGGUCUGCAUCCACCCCACCCCUCACCCCACACUGGCUUUGAUGACUGUUCCUGCCACUCCCAAGGGAUAGGCUAGGUCCUGCCGGUAGGGCACCCUCAGCCUUGGGGCAGAGCCUGCAGAGCCUGGAGGGUGCAAGUGGCUGCAGAGAGGACCAAGUAUGAGGGUCUCAAGAUAAGGGUCUAUGAAGACUGAUGGCUGUGGGGAGAUCUCUGAAGAAUGUUCAUAAACAGCUGUGUACACAUAUGCACACCUGUGCCCCCUUAUCAGGGUCUGCCAGCUGGGUAGUCCAGGGACAGCAGCUCUCUAGGACUUGCUGUGGAUAAUUUGCCCUUCUGAGAUAGUGAUAGCCAUUAGUAAACCACAUGUCAGUGUAAAGGUCAUUUUUAUUUGGUACCUGUUUGAACUGGCACUUCACAUGUCACAUGCCAUGAUCAGCCGGGUGCUGCCCUGAGCACACAUGCUCCUCCACAGAAUAGCACCACUGUGGCCACUCAGCC